CCUUGUUCUUAUAGCAAGAGCAUUUGGUUUGUGGUCCAGAUUUGUCCGUGAAGAUUAGAGAUCAUCCUCCUUCCCUGCUUUUCUUGUGGAUGUCAUGGAGAUCGAAGAGAAUCAAAAGAGAUGCUUCAGGAGAGGGGGGGGAUCAGUUAGUCUCGACCAUUUAUUGGAAUUCAUGGAAUGAACAAAAAAUACAAGGAUUUUUCAUAAGAGAAGCGAUCCCGUGACUUAGAUGCUAGGUAAAAUAGCUACCGUACCCAUAUCGGAUACAUUUUUGAUAUGAAAAUGCAGG
This 289-nucleotide long non-coding RNA is filed under the name Elaeis guineensis (African oil palm). Its description in RNAcentral is "long non-coding RNA (EGUI_LNC077012)". Lineage: Eukaryota; Viridiplantae; Streptophyta; Magnoliopsida; Arecales; Arecaceae. The record is from RNAcentral.